Non-coding RNA from Dipodomys ordii (Ord's kangaroo rat), 72 nucleotides. The record is from Rfam. Lineage: Eukaryota; Metazoa; Chordata; Mammalia; Rodentia; Heteromyidae.
GGGAAGGUGGCUCAGUGGUAGAGUGCUUGCCUUGCAUGCAUGAGGCCCUAGGUUCGAUUCCUCAGCAUCACA